This 424-nucleotide ribosomal RNA is filed under the name uncultured bacterium. RNAcentral describes it as "partial 16S ribosomal RNA". It matches the Rfam family "Bacterial small subunit ribosomal RNA", at positions 359 to 774 of the family's 1533-position model. The record is from RNAcentral.
GAAUAUUGGACAAUGGGGGGAACCCUGAUCCAGCCAUGCCGCGUGUGUGAAGCAGGCCUUUUGGUUGUAAAGCACUUUAAGCGAGGAGGAGGAGCUCUUGGUUAAUACCCAAGAUGCUUGGAUGUUACCCGCAGAAUACGCACCGGCUAACUCUGUGCCAGCAGCCGCGGUAAUACAGAGGGUGCAAGCGUUAAUCGGAUUUACUGGGAGUAAGGCACGGGUAGGUGGACAAUUAAGUCAAAUGUGAAAUCCCCGAGGUUAACUUGGGAAGUGCAUGCGAUACUGGUUGGCUAGAGUAUGGGAGAGGAUGGUAGAAUUCCAGGUGUAGCGGUGAAAUGCGUAGAGAUCUGGAGGAAUACCGAUGGCGAAGGCAGCCAGCUGGCCUAAUACUGACACUGAAGUGCGAAAGCAUGGGGAGCAAACA